CUUAUAGCUAAGUUAUUAGUCCUAAAAAUAUUUCACGAUACGAGCGAUUGGCAAACUAACACAUAAAAACCCAUCCCCAUAUAGAGAAAAAUCAGCGUGUUGUUAUUAUUAAACCAAAAUUGGUUAAAAUACGCCAAGCGUGAAAUUUUAUGUCAAGAGCACCCAAAAAUGAGGAAAGGAAACGCAGCGUGCAACAAGAGCUGUCAAACGGGCCACGCGGAACAGAUCCGCCAUUUCGUUCCUAGCACCGUCGUGAACAGACGGAAAAAGUGCCGCUAAAAAAAUCGGGAAGUGGGGUUGCGUUCGCGGAUUUGCCGGAAAAAGCAGAAAUCCACUCCAGAGCGCGUGCCAGACGAGCCGGAAGGUACACCUUCAAUAGAUUUGGCCGAAGAAAAGAAAAAGAAACCUAUCGACGAGACAAGCCGGCCAGAAGAGGUGGACAGGAAAAAACAAAAAGAGCCGCACAACCACGCUGCGUAAGUCGUUCGCACUAGACCCGU
Molecule: long non-coding RNA, 500 nt
Organism: Uranotaenia lowii
Lineage: Eukaryota; Metazoa; Arthropoda; Insecta; Diptera; Culicidae
Exons: 3
Source: RefSeq, a predicted model, not a curated record